This 241-nucleotide unclassified non-coding RNA is filed under the name plant metagenome. RNAcentral describes it as "partial contains small subunit ribosomal RNA, internal transcribed spacer 1, and 5.8S ribosomal RNA". The record is from RNAcentral.
UUUCCGUAGGUGAACCUGCGGAAGGAUCAUUAAAGAGUAAGGGUCUUCGGGCCCGAACUCCAACCCUUUGUUUAACUACCAUGUUGCUUUGGCGGGCCCGUCUCACGACCGCCGGAAGUUUGGCUUCGACCAAACUUCUGGCCCGUGCCCGUCAGUGGCCCCUUCAAAUUCUUGAUCAAGUAUGAUGUCUUAGUUAAAAACUUAAUAGUUAAAACUUUCAACAACGGAUCUCUUGGUUCUG